CACCAGCCCCUCGAGUGGUGGGGAUGAUUAUUCGGCCUAAAGCGUCCGUAGCCGGCCGGGUAAGUUUCCCGUUAAAUCCAAUGUCUCAAGCAUUGGACUGCGGGAAAUACUGCCUGGCUAGAGAGUGGGAGAGGUGUACGGUAUUCUGGGGGUAGGGGCGAAAUCCUUUGAUCCCCGGAGGACCACCAGUGGCGAAGGCUGUACACUAGAACACGUCUGACGGUCAGGGACGAAAGCUGGGGUAGCGAACCGGAUUAGAUACCCGGGUAGUCCCAGCUGUAAACGAUGCAUGCUAGGUGUUGGGUUGGCCACGAGCCACCCCAGUGCCGCAGGGAAGCUGUUAAGCAUGCCGCCUGGGAAGUACGAUCGCAAGAUUGAAACUUAAAGGAAUUGGCGGGGGAGCACCACCAGGCGUGAAGCCUGCGGUUU
Molecule: ribosomal RNA, 429 nt
Filed under: uncultured archaeon
Lineage: Archaea
Description: bacterial SSU rRNA
Rfam family: Archaeal small subunit ribosomal RNA
Source: RNAcentral